GGCAGCAGUGGGGAAUAUUGCACAAUGGGCGCAAGCCUGAUGCAGCCAUGCCGCGUGUAUGAAGAAGGCCUUCGGGUUGUAAAGUACUUUCAGCAGUGAGGAAGGUGGAUAUGUUAAUAGCAUAUUCAUUUGACGUUAGCUGCAGAAGAAGCACCGGCUAACUCCGUGCCAGCAGCCGCGGUAAUACGGAGGGUGCGAGCGUUAAUCGGAAUUACUGGGCGUAAAGCGCAUGCAGGUGGUUUGUUAAGUCAGAUGUGAAAGCCCGGGGCUCAACCUCGGAAUUGCAUUUGAAACUGGCAAACUAGAGUACUGUAGAGGGGGUAGAAUUUCAGGUGUAGCGGUGAAAUGCGUAGAGAUCUGAAGGAAUACCGGUGGCGAAGGCGGCCCCCUGGACAGAUACUGACACUCAGAUGCGAAAGCGUGGGGAGCAAACAGGAUUAGAUACCCUGGUAG
This 453-nucleotide ribosomal RNA is filed under the name uncultured bacterium. RNAcentral's name for it is "bacterial SSU rRNA". It matches the Rfam family "Bacterial small subunit ribosomal RNA", at positions 347 to 793 of the family's 1533-position model. The record is from RNAcentral.